UUGAUGAGCAUGAGGGACAAAAUCAUGAAGCAGAAUCAUGGGGAGAGAGAAUGACAGCUGUGAGGUCAAUCUGGGUCUGCAGUCAGAGCCUGUUGUUGGAACCUGCAGCCACAGUCUAGCUACGUAAAAGGCUGCAGUCGCAGUCCAGCUGGGGAAAAGCCUGCAUCAGAGUCUGCAAGCUGAUACCUGCAGUCACAGUCUAGCCAGGCUCAUUUUUACUCUCUAAUAAGAGGGUGUUGCAACACAGGGGGUCUUUCUUCCCGUGCUCUGUUAAGCCUCUCCAUGUCAGGGACAAGGACAUCCACACCAGCCCCCACAGAUGGAGCGACACGUGUCCUGCCUGCAGCUCCUGCCACCUCAGCACGCACCCAACAGGAGGGGCAUCUACAGGAAGGAGUCAAAAGAAAUGUGAUGAUGUGAUGAUGGAUCAGGGGAUUCUGGCCUGGCUCAUUGCCCAAAGGAUGCCACAUCCCUGCCCAGUCCCAUCCAUGCUGCCCACUGGACCCUGCCAUACCCAGAAAUGCCAAAGGAAGGGGACCCACCACCCACGGAAGGGGUUUCUGCCUAAGCCACACACAGCAUUGUUGGGAGCACCCCUGGUUGAGGGCAGACCGCUCCUGGGAGCGCAGAGGCUGAUGGACAGGCAGAGAGAUGUUAUUUAGGGCAGGCACUGGACAGGGGGAGCGGCACAGAGCCCAGUCAGAAGCCCCAUGAAGAGGAAAUUACACAGAUGGAGCCUGCUGGUCAGGAGGGCACAUGUCACUUGUCACUCCGGGCUGGAGAAGGGCACCAUCUGUCCCACCCACGUCACUGGAAACACCCUCGGUGCCACACCGCCUCCGACCCCCAGCGCCAGGCUGACCAUCCCACCCCACCACCACGAGCCCCUGAGCCAGGGAGCAGCAGCUGCUAAUGGGUGCCUUGGACUGGAACCAGAGGAGAUGUUACUGGGAGAACAGCUCAAGGGAUGCAGGGCUCUGAUGAAUCAGCUGCUCCCAGCGUCUCCCUCCACUCUGGCCCUCAUUGCUCUGCCCCACACUUGAGGUGUCCCCCCAUGAUUAAUUCGAGUACAAAAGUAGGAACGAGACCAAAACUUUCCAAAGGAAACCAUAAAGCACCACAUAGCAAAGAGUGUUUUAGCUCCACGCAUCCCCGCUGCGAGCUGGGUUUCCAAACUCACAUGGAAAGCUCCUGUUUCAGUCAAAACUACCUGCAGGUGCUGCUCAGCACAAGCAGCAAACAAUUCCAGCCCGGGAACUCACAAUGUCAGGCACACCAGUGCCACUCCACUUCUGCCUCAGGCACUGGCAGGCAGCACCAAGGACCCACACAGGGUAGGUGAGGAUAAUCCUUCUUUUGCACCAGUCCACCAGUGGCACCAUGUGGGCACCAUCCUGGGAUGGCUCUGGGAGCUGCUGCCUCUUCAGUGCCAGGGGGAGCUAGAUGGGGAGCGCAGGUCAGUCACAGCUCCUCCAGCAGCUUUUGGAGCCUCACAGGGUUCAAAGUGCCCUCCACGAGGGCCAAAAUCCCAAGUGGAGGCAGAGGCAAACUGUGAUACCAUCCCUGACAAAAAGGAGUAGUGGAUGGGAAGACAUCCAGAGCCCCACAGCAUCCUGGCUCCUUGGGUUUUGCAACCAGCACAUGCUAAUAAAUUAAUUAUUGAGUAAAUUACAACCCCGUGGUUCCAACCCACCCCAGUCCCUCCCAAGGCACUUUCUGAAAGAGGCAAAGGAGCACAGAACACCUGCAAAGAUUUGAUGCUUGCUGUCCUCCAAACAGCAAAGCUGGCAGGGUGGGCUGUGCAGGGCACAACCAGGUCUCUGUCACCUCACCACUGGCCACGUGCAGCCCCAAGUUCCUGUCCCCUCCUGUCAAUGCUGCAGGUGGAUUUGACCAUGCCCAGAUGCAUCCAGGGAGCUGGUGAAGGCAGCAGAGGCAGGGCAGAGGAACAACGGGCUCAGCCACUGCUGGGCACAUCUGAGCCCAGACACAUCCCUCUACCAAGCACUACUGGCACAUUUUGCUAGGAAACAUCUGUGUCCAAACAGGCAGUGACCCUUGCCUGCCUCCAGCACCCCAUGGGGCUGUGGGCCCAGGCCACGCUCCCUCCCACCUUACCAGAGACAAGGCAAGCCUCACAAAAGCACAAGGGGAAGAAAAAGCCACACCAGCUGCCAUCCCCCUUUCAGGGACCACUCAGUUAAGCAAAGAAAGGCCUCAUCCC
Hirundo rustica (Barn swallow) is the source of this 2224-nucleotide long non-coding RNA. RefSeq lists it as uncharacterized. The transcript is spliced from 3 exons. Lineage: Eukaryota; Metazoa; Chordata; Aves; Passeriformes; Hirundinidae. The record is from RefSeq and is a predicted model, not a curated record.